This is a small nuclear RNA of Equus asinus (donkey), 112 nucleotides long. NCBI's taxonomy places the organism in Eukaryota, Metazoa, Chordata, Mammalia, Perissodactyla, Equidae. The record is from Ensembl.
GUGUUGUACGAAAGGAAGGUUAGAACUCCCCUUGACCAGAAUGGAAGAGGCCCUCGGACAUGCAUGGUUAAGGCAUUGCCACCUCCUCUGUGGCAUCUAACCAUGGGUUUGC